UAAUACCUGCAGCCCGAGUGGUGACCGAUAUUAUUGAGCCUAAAGCGUCCGUAGCCGGUCUGGUAAAUUCUUGGGUAAAUCGAGCAGCUCAACUGUUCGAAUUCCGAGGAGACUGCCAGACUUGGGACCGGGAGAGGUCAGAGGUACUCCAGGGGUAGGGGCUAAAUCCUGUAAUCCUUGGGGGACCACCAGUGGCGAAGGCGUCUGACUAGAACGGAUUCGACGGUAAGGGACGAAACCCUGGGGCGCAAACCGGAUUAGAUACCCGGGUAGUCCAGGGCGUAAACGCUGCAGGCUUGGUGUUGGGGACCCUACGAGGGUGCCCAGUGCCGGAGUGAAGAUGUUAAGCCUGCCGCUUGGGGAGUACGUCCGCAAGGAUG
RNAcentral lists this ribosomal RNA (380 nucleotides) under uncultured Thermoplasmata archaeon. RNAcentral's name for it is "bacterial SSU rRNA". It matches the Rfam family "Archaeal small subunit ribosomal RNA", at positions 471 to 851 of the family's 1478-position model. The record is from RNAcentral. Lineage: Archaea; Methanobacteriati; Thermoplasmatota; Thermoplasmata.